This 271-nucleotide long non-coding RNA is filed under the name Apteryx owenii (little spotted kiwi). Its description in RNAcentral is "lncRNA (ENSAOWG00000013623.1)". Lineage: Eukaryota; Metazoa; Chordata; Aves; Apterygiformes; Apterygidae. The record is from RNAcentral.
AUGAGCAAGUUCAGAUGGACAUACAAUUCUUGUGAGCUGCUGUUCUCACCAGGUUCCUGUAUAAACUGGAAGCUCCCCUCAGAGUGUGAAAUGAAAGCGUACAGUUCCUCACUUCUGAAAUGGCAGAGAAGCAGGUAUCUGCCUGGAGGAAAUUAAGGGGAAGGAACUCUAGUAUGCAGCUUUUGCCUGCCAUGGGAUGAAGGUGCGUGGCUUACUUGGCUGGAACACGUGAAUAUUGCUAAUGUAGAAUAAAUCUCUGCUUAAGACAACA